RNAcentral lists this ribosomal RNA (2526 nucleotides) under Triticum aestivum (bread wheat). RNAcentral describes it as "partial small subunit ribosomal RNA". Lineage: Eukaryota; Viridiplantae; Streptophyta; Magnoliopsida; Poales; Poaceae. The record is from RNAcentral.
AUGACUCAACAGCAAGGCCAAAACUCCAGCGAAUACUUGCCAUCGUCCGGCCCCAGCGCACACCUCCCUCCCCGCCGGCGGCCACUCCGGCCCCGGCGUCCACCCUCUGCUCCGAUGGCCUCGGGCUCGCGAAGCCCCCCUUCGGUGUCCUCGACCUUUCCUCGGGAGCGUCCGAUUGUCUCUGGGCUGGGGCUCUCGGGGUCGCCUGGCUCGGCGCGCUCCUCAUCGGCGGGUGUCGCUCCGGCGGGUGCUGGGGCUUCGGCUCCGGACCAGGCUUGGCGCCAGAAAGGGCCGUCCCGGAAGGCCAUGUGGCGUCGCCGGAAGGCGCUCCGUCGUCAGCAGGAGGCUGGCGACGGCCGCCGGAGCUCCUCGCCCUCGUCUUCUUCUCUGCGCCGCGAGAUUCCUCAGGACAUGUAUGGACUCUGCUUUCGCUGUUUCAAGGAGGGGCAUCAGCGGCAAGACUGCACCAACGACCCUGUUUGCAUUCGCUGCGGCCUGUCGGGGCAUGUCUCGUCGCAGUGCAAGAGACCCAGGAGCCCGACCCCGGAGGAUGAGCUCCGUCGCGCUGUGAUUGCUAAGGUGUCCGGGACGAUGCCGGCGCCGCCAGCGGCUGCGGCCAUGGGGCGGACAUUGCAGGAGCCUGGACAGAGUGCGCCGCGUGCGUUAGCUCUGUCAGUUGCGCCCAAUCUCCCCCUCGUGAUGGCCGGCGUGGCCUCCCCGGCCGCGCAGGCUGGCAUCUGUGUUCUGCAACGCUCUCCGGGGAUGGACGAGCUUGAGCGCAGGCUGCAGCUCGCGGUUUUGAUGUACGUUGGUGGAGCUAGGCCGCCGGUGUCAUGUGAGGACGCGGCGGUCGCCAUCUCGCGCCAGCUUGACACACCGCGGCACCGAUUCUCCGUGCACAAGUACCACCCCGAGGAUUUUCUGGUUGUGUUUGCGUCGCAUGAGCUCCGGAACAGAGCGCUGGGUGCCCCCGUGAUCGAGCAUGACAGUUUCAAGCUCUUCGUCAAGCCCUGGCUUCGUCAAGCUCAAGCGAAAUCCAGGAUCAUGCGGACACAGGUGGAUAUCAUGAUUGAGGGAGUUCCGUCGCAUGCCUGGUCGCGUGGCAUGGCGGCCGAGCUCCUUGGGGAUUCUUGCUGGAUCGAUAGCCUGGCUCCGGAAACUGCUAGCCGAGAAGAUCUCUCUCUGUUCAAGCUUCGAGCGUGGUGUGUGGAUCCGGACGAGGUGCCGGUUGCCAAGCGGCUGUGGGUGCCUGAGCCGCCGGAGCAGAUGCCAGACCCCGCGGCGCGCCGUCCAUCCUUCCUGCAAUUGCUGGAGUACCCCACCAUCAUUCACAUCAGGCGGAUGAGGGAUUUCUCCGCUCCGGAUCUUUGGAGAAGGGAAGGGAGCUCGGAUGACAGUGGGCAGAGCGGGCUGCCGGAUGACUCCGACGAUCUGGGCCCCGGUGGUGACGUGCAAGUGCUUCCCUGGACGCGAGGAGUUCUGGAUGACCGCGGUGCUGGUCGGCGUUCGUUCGGUCCGGCGGCAGGAGGCGGCGGUGGCCGUUCCUACCGGCAAGCCCUGGCUGGCCGUGUGGGGCCCUUGGACUGGAGGAUUCCGCCAAUGAUGGCAGAGCUGUCCGUUAAAGCUACUGAUGGGGCCCCUCAUGUGCCAGGCUCGGGAAGACCAGGAAUUUCGAAUCCGAGGCCAUGCCCGGCGGUGCCGUUGGCGAAUCCGAUGCCAACACUUGGCAUCCCAUCGCCGGCGGAUCAGAGCAACACAGGAGUUGGAGGUGCUUUUGACUCGGUCGUGUCCGCUGUCCCAGGUGCGCAGAUGGUGGAGCCGACACUUUUGGUAGGCGGACAGGCCAAUCAUUUGGUGGAGAUUGCGGUGGAGCCUUCAAGAGACCACGGUCUGGCAGUUGCGGAUCCCACGCCGGUUCCUCUGGCCGUCCCAUCGGUAGCUGGGCUGGCAAAGCCAGCUUCGGUGGGGGAGUCGCAGAUCCCAGAGCUGAGGUCAGACAUGACUGAGUCUAUGACUGCCAAGGAGGUGGAACCAGUGGGGCCGUCUGCCGCACUCAUGGACACGACGGAUCCCAUGCCCCAGGAUGGUGGUGUGGCAGCCUCUGCUGUCGCUACAAACCUGGGUUCGGAGGCGCACUUAAUCCGGCCAGAAUUGCUGCAUGCCACGCAACCCGAGACGAACGGCUGGCAGCCUAUGGAGGAGCUCAUCCCACCCAGUUGCCCCGCGGGCCCAGAUAUCGGUGCGUUGGUUGGAUGUGCCAGCGCGGAUGAUCACCAGGACGGGUCGCCCCAGACUGAUGUGGUGGUGGGGCCGCCUAGGGAUCUGGUUGAUGUUGCAUGUGCAUGUGACAUGACUACGUCGCACAGCAUGCAAAUCGUGGUCUCGUCGCAGGAAUGGGGCGUCCAAGGGACGGGAGUUCUGCCGGAAGGAGAUAAACUCACUGAGAAAGAACAGGUCGCCUUGGGCAACAUCAAAACUUUCUGCACUGGGCUUCUCAAGAAACUUGCCCCCCCCCCCCGCUGCUAA